RNAcentral lists this transfer RNA (68 nucleotides) under Psilochorema bidens. RNAcentral describes it as "tRNA-Leu". The record is from RNAcentral. Lineage: Eukaryota; Metazoa; Arthropoda; Insecta; Trichoptera; Hydrobiosidae.
UUCUAAUAUGGCAGAAAAAUGCAUUGAACUUAAGAUUCAAUUAUAAAGAAUUAUUCUUUUUUUAGAAA